RNAcentral lists this ribosomal RNA (459 nucleotides) under uncultured bacterium. RNAcentral's name for it is "bacterial SSU rRNA". It matches the Rfam family "Bacterial small subunit ribosomal RNA", at positions 331 to 788 of the family's 1533-position model. The record is from RNAcentral.
CCAGACUCCUACGGGAGGCAGCAGUGAGGAAUAUUGGUCAAUGGGCGCGAGCCUGAACCAGCCAAGUCGCGUGAGGGAAGACGGUCCUAUGGAUUGUAAACCUCUUUUGUCGGGGAGCAAAGAGAGUCACGUGUGGCUCAUUGAGAGUACCCGAAGAAAAAGCAUCGGCUAACUCCGUGCCAGCAGCCGCGGUAAUACGGAGGAUGCGAGCGUUAUCCGGAUUUAUUGGGUUUAAAGGGUGCGUAGGCGGGACGUUAAGUCAGCGGUAAAAAGGCGGGGCUCAACCCCGGCGAGCCGUUGAAACUGCCGUUCUUGAGUGAGCGAGAAGUAUGCGGAAUGCGUGGUGUAGCGGUGAAAUGCAUAGAUAUCACGCAGAACUCCGAUUGCGAAGGCAGCAUACCGGCGCUCAACUGACGCUGAAGCACGAAGGCGUGGGUAUCGAACAGGAUUAGAUACCCG